RNAcentral lists this ribosomal RNA (440 nucleotides) under uncultured bacterium. RNAcentral's name for it is "partial 16S ribosomal RNA". It matches the Rfam family "Bacterial small subunit ribosomal RNA", at positions 338 to 795 of the family's 1533-position model. The record is from RNAcentral.
CCUACGGGGGGCAGCAGUAGGGAAUAUUGCUCAAUGGGGGAAACCCUGAAGCAGCAACGCCGCGUGGAGGACGAAGGUGCUCGGAUUGUAAACUCCUUUUGUUCGAGAACAUAAUGACGGUAUCUAACGAAUAAGCACCGGCUAACUCCGUGCCAGCAGCCGCGGUAAUGCGGCGGGUGCAAGGGUUACUCGGAAUCACUUGGCGUAAAGCGCGCGUAGGCGGGAUAGAAAGUCAGAUGUGAAAUCCUAUGGCUUCAACAUAGAACUGCAUUUGAAACUGGUAUUCUAGAGUAUGGGAGAGGUAGGUGGAAUGCUUGGUGUAGGGGUAAAAUCCGUAGAGAUCAAGAGGAAUACUCAUUGCGAAGGCGACCUGCUAGAACCUAACUGACGCUGAUGCGCGAAAGCGUGGGGAGCAAACAGGAUUAGAUACCCGUGUAGUC